RNAcentral lists this ribosomal RNA (253 nucleotides) under uncultured bacterium. RNAcentral describes it as "partial 16S ribosomal RNA". It matches the Rfam family "Bacterial small subunit ribosomal RNA", at positions 524 to 776 of the family's 1533-position model. The record is from RNAcentral.
UACAGAGGUCUCAAGCGUUGUUCGGAUUCAUUGGGCGUAAAGGGUGCGUAGGCGGCGCGGUUAGUCGGGUGUGAAAUCUCGGAGCUUAACUCCGAAACUGCAUUCGAUACUGCCGUGCUUGAGGACUGGAGAGGAGACUGGAAUUUACGGUGUAGCGGUGAAAUGCGUAGAUAUCGUAAGGAAGACCAGUGGCGAAGGCGGGUCUCUGGACAGUUCCUGACGCUGAGGCACGAAGGUCAGGGGAGCAAACGGG